Molecule: long non-coding RNA, 452 nt
Organism: Helianthus annuus (common sunflower)
Lineage: Eukaryota; Viridiplantae; Streptophyta; Magnoliopsida; Asterales; Asteraceae
Exons: 3
Source: RefSeq, a predicted model, not a curated record
ACAUAAUAUGGACAAGGGAACUGAUGUGGUUGAUGUAAGCUUCUAGAUUCUGAUUUUAAAUUGUGUCUUCAGUUCUGAUGCUUAUCAUAUGACAAUGCCUCACCCUGAAGGUAGAUCAAACAACCCUCUUAUAUAUGAGGCAUGAGCUUGUGUAUUUAACCACCAGGUUGUAUGUAUGGUUAUUAGGUAGCAUGUCAUAUUAUGCAUUGAGAAGGCGUUAUCUCAGUCUGAUGUGGCGAGGGAAGACGUGAACUAUAUCGCACAUGCUACAUCAACACAAGCAUGCAACAGUAAAGAAUACCAAGAGCCGCUGGUGAUGUGGCAGGUAUUUCAACAAUACAGGUGAUACGGACAAGAUGGGUACAUCCAAAUCUUAACCUUUACCAUCCGGACAAUGAUGUGAUAUCAUGAGAAGCUUUGGAGCUAAGUUUUAUGAUACUGGAAUUUUCACC